AUUUUAAUAGCUUAUAUUUAGAGCAUAAUAUUGAAGAUAUUAAGGAGAUUUUUGUCUUAAGAUA
Molecule: transfer RNA, 64 nt
Filed under: Inflata indica
Lineage: Eukaryota; Metazoa; Arthropoda; Insecta; Coleoptera; Lampyridae
Description: tRNA-Phe
Source: RNAcentral